UCUGAGCUUUAGAGAUGAGGCAAUAUUUUUACAGUAAUUUCUUUAUCUGAUUUCAUCCUGUUUACAGAAGCUGCCGUUUGGAACAUUUCCCCCCCUACACCACCAUUUUUGAGAUGGCUUUUCUUUAAAUAAAUGUAUAUUAAAAAAUAGCGCAGACAACAGAGUCAGCUUCCUGCUUGCUCUUUAUUGUGAGGGAGAUAAGGCUGCUAAAUGCUGUGCUAUCUGACUCUGGUUCGGUGCGUGACCUACAUGGAUCAAGAUGGAGAUUUAAUGAUUAAGCUUAACUCCUUUAUCUUCAGCAAGGGGGGAGGAAAGAGUACCCAAACAAACUACUUAUGUUGCAGCAUGAUAGAAUUACAUUUCAACACAAUAAUUAACUAUCUGACACAUUCCUGCGAGGCUGCAGAUGUCACUAAUGGCUCCGAAAUGCCCCCUCUGUGUUGUCAUAACCCAGAGCUCUUCGCAGCAGCCAAAACAAGCACGUACUCUGAAGAGCAUCAAGGCUGGCAAAAUGCAUUUCAUCCCUUCUCAGCUGAUUCAUACAGCCCACAGGGAGCUUUUCCUCCUUCACCUCCCAGUGUGAAUGUGGAUGUAUGAGCAAUGAAUGGCAAUGGGAAAGGAAAUGCAGAGAAACCACACAACGAUUUACUGGGGCUUUAGCAAAAUAUUAUCAUUCUUAAUGUUUGUCGGCAUGUGGCAACUUUCUUUGAACCAGGGAUAGUUUAAAUUCCUUCUUGCUUUGAAGACUUAAUUUUCUCCCAUAAAGAUUAUGGAGACUGUCUUGGAUAAUUUUAGGACUUAGGCACACUAUUUGCUGAGCUCAGGCAUGUUUUGGACCAUGUAUAUUUUAUUUGCCACCUGCCAGCUCGUGUUCACAUUUUCCCAAAGUCUAGAGGUCACAGACAAAUCUUGAGCAAAGCCAUUUGCUACGGCCCAGAUCCCGCGUUGCACGUGCAUGGCCUGAGAGCCCUGCUUGCAUACAGGCACCACUCAAAACUUAUUAAAUGAUGUUUCCAGGCAGAGCUAGAUCCCCAGCCUUGCAAACAGUGGCUCCGGUAAGUAACUUUGCAGACGGCCACAUGACAACCGCAGGCAUGACGUGGUGUCUGUCUCGUUGUUUGCUGGUGGCACUCGGGGGCCACAGCCUGGGAGGAGAACAUCGGGCUGGAGGGCAAAGGAGAUGUCUGGGCACUACACAGGGCUCGUCUGGGUCCUCUACAGACUGAAGCUCAUCCCCUGGCCAUGACGCAAAAUCCUCCAAGCUCAGUGAGCCAGGGUUGGUAGGCAACUGUGAGCCAACAGAAAUGCCUCAGUCGCUCUGAAUACAGCCAAGCCAGGAAUUCGCCCAAUCUCUGAUUUGGCCAACGCAGAAUGGACAAAAAACAUUUGGAGGUGACAUGAGAAAUCACCGUGCUCCAGCCCUGGGGACUUUUAUUAAGGAGAAGGUGGGGAUGAGGCCUGAAGACAGCACAUCAGCAUCAAACACCCAGCUCUUUGGUUAACAGGGGAAUGCUCUGAAAAGGACUGAUAGAUGAAACCCAAGGCAGACAAAUUCAAAAUAAAGCCUGUAGACAUAGCA
Molecule: long non-coding RNA, 1579 nt
Organism: Anser brachyrhynchus (Pink-footed goose)
Lineage: Eukaryota; Metazoa; Chordata; Aves; Anseriformes; Anatidae
Source: Ensembl